RNAcentral lists this ribosomal RNA (450 nucleotides) under uncultured bacterium. RNAcentral's name for it is "partial 16S ribosomal RNA". It matches the Rfam family "Bacterial small subunit ribosomal RNA", at positions 354 to 796 of the family's 1533-position model. The record is from RNAcentral.
GUGGGGAAUCUUCCGCAAUGGACGAAAGUCUGACGGAGCAACGCCGCGUGAGUGAUGAAGGUCUUCGGAUUGUAAAGCUCUGUUAAUCGGGACGAAAGAGCCUAGUGUGAAUAAUGCUAGGAAGUGACGGUACCGGAAUAGAAAGCCACGGCUAACUACGUGCCAGCAGCCGCGGUAAUACGUAGGUGGCAAGCGUUGUCCGGAAUUAUUGGGCGUAACGCGCGCGCAGGCGGAUCUGCCAGUCUGUCUUAAAAGUUCGGGGCUUAACCCCGUGAUGGGAUGGAAACUACAGAUCUAGAGUAGCGGAGAGGAAAGUGGAAUUCCUAGUGUAGCGGUGAAAUGCGUAGAUAUUAGGAAGAACACCAGUGGCGAAGGCGACUUUCUGGACGAAAACUGACGCUGAGGCGCGAAAGGCAGGGGAGCGAACGGGAUUAGAAACCCGUGUAGUCC